This 1428-nucleotide ribosomal RNA is filed under the name Staphylococcus aureus. RNAcentral's name for it is "bacterial SSU rRNA". It matches the Rfam family "Bacterial small subunit ribosomal RNA". Lineage: Bacteria; Bacillati; Bacillota; Bacilli; Caryophanales; Staphylococcaceae. The record is from RNAcentral.
UUUAUGGAGAGUUUGAUCCUGGCUCAGGAUGAACGCUGGCGGCGUGCCUAAUACAUGCAAGUCGAGCGAACGGACGAGAAGCUUGCUUCUCUGAUGUUAGCGGCGGACGGGUGAGUAACACGUGGAUAACCUACCUAUAAGACUGGGAUAACUUCGGGAAACCGGAGCUAAUACCGGAUAAUAUUUUGAACCGCAUGGUUCAAAAGUGAAAGACGGUCUUGCUGUCACUUAUAGAUGGAUCCGCGCUGCAUUAGCUAGUUGGUAAGGUAACGGCUUACCAAGGCAACGAUGCAUAGCCGACCUGAGAGGGUGAUCGGCCACACUGGAACUGAGACACGGUCCAGACUCCUACGGGAGGCAGCAGUAGGGAAUCUUCCGCAAUGGGCGAAAGCCUGACGGAGCAACGCCGCGUGAGUGAUGAAGGUCUUCGGAUCGUAAAACUCUGUUAUUAGGGAAGAACAUAUGUGUAAGUAACUGUGCACAUCUUGACGGUACCUAAUCAGAAAGCCACGGCUAACUACGUGCCAGCAGCCGCGGUAAUACGUAGGUGGCAAGCGUUAUCCGGAAUUAUUGGGCGUAAAGCGCGCGUAGGCGGUUUUUUAAGUCUGAUGUGAAAGCCCACGGCUCAACCGUGGAGGGUCAUUGGAAACUGGAAAACUUGAGUGCAGAAGAGGAAAGUGGAAUUCCAUGUGUAGCGGUGAAAUGCGCAGAGAUAUGGAGGAACACCAGUGGCGAAGGCGACUUUCUGGUCUGUAACUGACGCUGAUGUGCGAAAGCGUGGGGAUCAAACAGGAUUAGAUACCCUGGUAGUCCACGCCGUAAACGAUGAGUGCUAAGUGUUAGGGGGUUUCCGCCCCUUAGUGCUGCAGCUAACGCAUUAAGCACUCCGCCUGGGGAGUACGACCGCAAGGUUGAAACUCAAAGGAAUUGACGGGGACCCGCACAAGCGGUGGAGCAUGUGGUUUAAUUCGAAGCAACGCGAAGAACCUUACCAAAUCUUGACAUCCUUUGACAACUCUAGAGAUAGAGCCUUCCCCUUCGGGGGACAAAGUGACAGGUGGUGCAUGGUUGUCGUCAGCUCGUGUCGUGAGAUGUUGGGUUAAGUCCCGCAACGAGCGCAACCCUUAAGCUUAGUUGCCAUCAUUAAGUUGGGCACUCUAAGUUGACUGCCGGUGACAAACCGGAGGAAGGUGGGGAUGACGUCAAAUCAUCAUGCCCCUUAUGAUUUGGGCUACACACGUGCUACAAUGGACAAUACAAAGGGCAGCGAAACCGCGAGGUCAAGCAAAUCCCAUAAAGUUGUUCUCAGUUCGGAUUGUAGUCUGCAACUCGACUACAUGAAGCUGGAAUCGCUAGUAAUCGUAGAUCAGCAUGCUACGGUGAAUACGUUCCCGGGUCUUGUACACACCGCCCGUCACACCACGAGAG